This 253-nucleotide ribosomal RNA is filed under the name uncultured bacterium. RNAcentral's name for it is "partial 16S ribosomal RNA". It matches the Rfam family "Bacterial small subunit ribosomal RNA", at positions 524 to 776 of the family's 1533-position model. The record is from RNAcentral.
GACGUAGGGCGCGAGCGUUGUCCGGAUUUAUUGGGCGUAAAGAGCUCGUAGGCGGCUUGUUAAGUCAGGGGUGAAAUCCUGGAGCUCAACUCCAGAACUGCCUUUGAUACUGGCGAGCUUGAGUCCGGGAGAGGUGAGUGGAACUGCGAGUGUAGAGGUGAAAUUCGUAGAUAUUAGGAAGAACACCAGUGGCGAAGGCGGCUCACUGGUCCGGUACUGACGCUGAGGUGCGAAAGCGUGGGGAGCAAACAGG